ACCCCGACGCCCACCCCACUCCCAGCUUCCCUAACCUCCCCACGACUACCUCUUUGCUGUCGCCCGAGCCUCUCCCACCAGCGCGCCGCCGCCGCUGCCCGAGGCCCCUCCGACCAGCGCGCCGUCGCCGCCCGGGGCUCCUUCCCACCAGUGCGUCACCGCCGCCCCUAAGCCCCUCCGACCAACGCGCCGCCACCGUCCUGAUCCCCCUACGACCAACGCGCCACCGCUGCCCCGAUCCCCCUCCGACCAGCACGCCGCCGCCGGCGCCAAGCCCCUCACACCAGCGCGUCGCCGCCGCCCCGAUCCCCCUCCCACCAGUGCACCACGGCCGCCCCAAACCCCCUUCCAUGACCAUAUCACCCGCACCAUCGGCCGCGCCUCCCUCCUGCAUGCCACCUGCGGCUUCCACGCCAUGGAAGGUACUGAGCCAUUGCGGUAGUACAACUGCAUGCUCCACCGCCGGUCAUGAGAAGAGCUGCGUGCAGGCCACCCGUGGUCUUUCCUGGAUCCGACUCAGUCGUGUCCCUCUCAUCCUCUCUCUGUUUGUGUGCGUAUGAAGGAAGUAGGAGGAGAUAAAACAAGGGAGUGAGAGAUCCCCAUUGUCAUGUAUGUGAGAUGUGGGUGUGUGAUUUCCCAAUGUCAAAUCCCAUGUUUGUGUUGAUUAGUUGUAGUUUCAUGGAUCUGGUUCUUAUGCAAUGUAAAUCCGUGCAUAGUUCACUCAUUGUUUCUCUAAAACUAUGAGCCGAUGAUAGAUUAGAGAUGAGUUGACGGUGUGGGUUCCGGUAGUGAGAUUUGCAGCUAGUUUGUUUACUUGUUUAUGUGGUUGCAAGGGAAUUCUAUUUGAUUACAGUUAGGCCACCAGUUAGUAUUGUGGUAUUCUGUUGCAACAAAAAUGGGUCGCCGGUUCAGUUAUAGGCACCCAACUCUGAAGAUUUUGAAAUUUUGCAUGGUAUUUUAAGUUUGGUUUCUAUCAUAUAAUGUAAAGUUGUAAACAUGUUUCCAAUGGUCUUUGCUCCCAGUUCUGAACUUCUUAUUCAGUCUAUUAGUACAGUCGUAGUGGUGGCCACCCCGACGCCUAGCCCGCCAACACGCAUCGCGCGCUGCCCCAGGGCCCCCGAGCACUGCCGCGCCCCGUCGCCGGUGCCUGACGGUGCGGGCCACCAUCGCUGCCCGACGAAUGGGGAGUCUGAUCAUUUGCUGGUCAAAAUCUGACAACAAUCGGAGGAGGAAUGCGCAACAAGCAAGUCUAUCAUCGAUGGCAAGUUAUAGCUAGCAACAGGCCCAUCUGCGUGGUAUGCAAACAGGAGUACUGAUGGACAUAUGAGGGAUCAUUGUUUCUUAUUGGAGAAGGCCUGGUGUUUAGUUGGUGUCUGUGUGGUACCUACACGGCUACACCAGCAUUUUCCAUCAACACCUCCAGAAAAAGAGAUAAUCUCCAGGAAUUACCUUUUUUAACUUUGGCAUCCCCCGACGCAUCGCGCCCCUAGAGAGGCCACGUGUUGGAUCCAGUAGGGCAACGCUGUUGACACCGACACCAUAGUCCUCCGGUGUCACCCUCCCCGUCCAUGUCCAGGUAUAGGACAAACACUAGUCCAGCUCUUCCUCGUUUCUCCGUCCAAGCUCCGCGUGCCAUGCUUGAUGGUCAUUUCAUCACUAUAAAACAUAAUUUCUUUCAGUUCUGAACGUGGACAGUUCUAGGAACAUUGUUGUGCAGACCAAAAGUGUGUCAUGGAUGUUCUCUUCACAAAUUUUGUGUUUUGGAGUAAGUUAAUUUCGAUUGUUGACACAGUAGCUUCUAGUUUUUUGCAAUGGAUUUGGAGAUAUGAAAAAUGAUUGAUUUUGAACAGUACUUUGCUGUGUGAUAUUUUUGAAACCAGGAUGACCUCGUCCUUCGUCUGCUUCUCUUUUCCAGCCGCAUCCAGGACGACCGGGACUCGCUGCCACUAGCUGUUGGUGCACCUUCUGUUAGCUCCCAGCUGUUACCUAGUGUGCUUGAUGCUACUGCUACAAAGAAGGUUGAAGGAGAUCCCUUCACUUCAAUGGAUUCAACAAAAAUAAUCCCUGCUGCCACUGCAUAAUUUGUGUAGGGGGCUUCUAUAGUGAUGGCAUCCCGAGUUCGACAAACUUUUAAAAAAUCGUGUUCGGAAUCAAAUGUGACCGUAUUCAAAUUUGUUUUUAGAACGUAAGGAAUUAGAAAAACAUUUCAAUAUGAAAAUGUUGCGCAUUUUCCAUAGCUUUCCAACGC
Molecule: RNA transcript, 2248 nt
Organism: Triticum dicoccoides
Lineage: Eukaryota; Viridiplantae; Streptophyta; Magnoliopsida; Poales; Poaceae
Exons: 6
Source: RefSeq, a predicted model, not a curated record